RNAcentral lists this non-coding RNA (222 nucleotides) under Ophiocordyceps sinensis. Lineage: Eukaryota; Fungi; Ascomycota; Sordariomycetes; Hypocreales; Ophiocordycipitaceae. The record is from Rfam by way of RNAcentral. RNAcentral also lists the same sequence under 1 other name.
GUCAGUCGAUCCUAAGCCAUAGGGAAGUUCCGUUUCAAAGGCGCACUCGCGCGCCGUCUGGCGAAAGGGGAGCCGGUCAAUAUUCCGGCACCUGGAUGUGGUGUCGAUGACGGCCUCCUCGUAGCUUUCACUAAGCAGCGACUUUGUCGAGGCGCGAGCUUGCUUAAUGAAUUUCGACAGGCUUAUGAUGGCAAAAAGUAGGCCAUAUGUCGCAUCGGAGCG